This 253-nucleotide ribosomal RNA is filed under the name uncultured bacterium. RNAcentral's name for it is "partial 16S ribosomal RNA". It matches the Rfam family "Bacterial small subunit ribosomal RNA", at positions 524 to 776 of the family's 1533-position model. The record is from RNAcentral.
UACGAAGGGGGCUAGCGUUGCUCGGAAUCACUGGGCGUAAAGGGUGCGUAGGCGGGUUUUUAAGUCAGGGGUGAAAUCCUGGAGCUCAACUCCAGAACUGCCUUUGAUACUGAAGAUCUUGAGUUCGGGAGAGGUGAGUGGAACUGCGAGUGUAGAGGUGAAAUUCGUAGAUAUUCGCAAGAACACCAGUGGCGAAGGCGGCUCACUGGCCCGGUACUGACGCUGAGGUGCGAAAGCGUGGGGAGCAAACAGG